AUACGGAGGGAGCAAGCGUUAUUCGGAAUCACUGGGCGUAAAGGGUGCGUAGGCGGUUUGAUAAGUCUGAUGUGAAAUCCUAUGGCUCAACCAUAGAACUGCAUUGGAAACUGUCAGACUAGAAUACUGAAGGGGCAGAUGGAAUUAGUGGUGUAGGGGUAAAAUCCGUAGAUAUCACUAGGAAUACCGAAAGCGAAAGCGAUCUGCUGGGAAGUUAUUGACGCUGAGGCACGAAAGCGUGGGGAGCAAACGGGAUUAGAUACCCUAGUAGUCC
Molecule: ribosomal RNA, 274 nt
Filed under: uncultured bacterium
Lineage: Bacteria
Description: partial 16S ribosomal RNA
Rfam family: Bacterial small subunit ribosomal RNA
Source: RNAcentral